This 249-nucleotide ribosomal RNA is filed under the name uncultured bacterium. RNAcentral describes it as "partial 16S ribosomal RNA". It matches the Rfam family "Bacterial small subunit ribosomal RNA", at positions 796 to 1041 of the family's 1533-position model. The record is from RNAcentral.
CACGCCGUAAACGAUGGGUGCUAGGUGUCGCGGGCUUUGACCCCUGCGGUGCCGUAGCUAACGCAUUAAGCACCCCGCCUGGGGAGUACGGCCGCAAGGCUAAAACUCAAAGGAAUUGACGGGGGCCCGCACAAGCGGUGGAGCAUGUGGUUCAAUUCGACGCAACGCGCAGAACCUUACCUGGGCUAGAAAAUGCGAGAACCUGGUUGAAAGAUCGGGGUGCUCUUCGGAGAACUCGUAGUUAGGUGC